CAUAUUAAUUAGUUGGUAGGGUAAUGGCCUACCAAGACGAUGAUGUGUAGCUGGACUGAGAGGUUGAACAGCCACAUUGGGACUGAGACACGGCCCAAACUCCUACGGGAGGCAGCAGUAGGGAAUUUUCGGCAAUGGAGGAAACUCUGACCGAGCAACGCCGCGUGAAUGACGAAGUACUUCGGUAUGUAAAGUUCUUUUAUCGAGGAAGAAAAGCAAAUGGCGAACCAUUUGUUUGCCGGUACUUGAUGAAUAAGCCCCGGCUAAUUAUGUGCCAGCAGCCGCGGUAAGACAUAAGGGGCAAGUGUUAUCCGGAAUUAUUGGGCGUAAAGGGUGCGUAGGCGGUCUAGUAAGUCAGUGGUGUAAUGUCAACGCUUAACGUUGUCCGGCUAUUGAAACUGCUAAACUUGAGUUAGAUAGAGGCGAGUGGAAUUCCAUGUGUAGCGGUAAAAUGCGUAAAUAUAUGGAGGAACACCAGAGGCGUAGGCGGCUCGCUGGGUCUUAACUGACGCUGAGGCACGAAAGCGUGGGGAGCAAACAGGAUUAGAUACCCUGGUAGUCCACGCCGUAAACGAUGAGUACUAAGUGUCGGGUUAAACCGGUACUGAAGUUAACACAUUAAGUACUCCGCCUGAGUAGUACGUACGCAAGUAUGAAACUUAAAGGAAUUGACGGGACUCCGCACAAGCGGUGGAUCAUGUUGUUUAAUUCGAAGAUACCCGAAAAACCUUUACCAGGUCUUGACAUGUUUUUGCAAAAUGAUAGUAAUAUCGUGGAGGUUACCAGAAAACAACAGGUGGUGCAUGGUUGUCGUCAGCCUCGUGUCGUGAGAUGUUAGGUUAGUCCUAAACGAGCGAACCCUUAUCGUUAGUGCCAGCACGUUAUGGUGGGGACUUUAACGAGACUGCCAAUGAUAAAUUGGAGGAAGGUGAGGAUCACGUCAAAUCAGCAUGCCCCUUAUGACCUGGGCUACAAACGUGAUACAAUGGCUGUUCAAAGGGUAGCUGAAACGCAAGUUCUUGGCCAAUCCCCAAAAACAGUCCCAGUC
Molecule: ribosomal RNA, 1048 nt
Filed under: Cassava witches'-broom phytoplasma
Lineage: Bacteria; Bacillati; Mycoplasmatota; Mollicutes; Acholeplasmatales; Acholeplasmataceae
Description: bacterial SSU rRNA
Rfam family: Bacterial small subunit ribosomal RNA
Source: RNAcentral